Non-coding RNA from Parasteatoda tepidariorum (common house spider), 415 nucleotides. Lineage: Eukaryota; Metazoa; Arthropoda; Arachnida; Araneae; Theridiidae. The record is from RefSeq and is a predicted model, not a curated record.
UUAUAAAAAUAUUUAGCCACACCCACCCAUUUAGAAUAUUAAAUAAUCUUGCUUAUACUUGCACAACCUUCAUAUUUCGAGUAUAAAAUUUCAUACUCAUAAAAUUUCAUACUUCAUAAAAUUUCAUACUUCAUAAAAUGUUUAUUAAAAAUCAUUUUUUACUACAUAAUUUAUACGUAAAUAUUCAAGCAAAAUCAGUUCAACUUCUUACAGAACAUGAAAGUACAUAUUAAAAAUGGAUUUUUAAAAUUUUUUUCACAGCUGCAGUAAAAGGAGUUGCUGACACACUUGGCCAUGUCGUGGAUGGCGGUAAGUUUUGAGUCUAUAUUCAAUUACAAAAUUUCCUAAUUUAAAAUAAAAACUGAAACUUUUAAUCUAGCAAGUCUUUUUAUGAUGAUAAGCUAGUUAGUUAAAA